GUGCUGGCUUCGGCAGCACAUGCACUAAAACUGGAACCAUACAGAGAAGAUCAGCAUGGCCCCUGCACAAGGACAACACGCAAAUUCAUGAAGUAUUCCAUAUUUUU
Molecule: small nuclear RNA, 107 nt
Organism: Chionomys nivalis (European snow vole)
Lineage: Eukaryota; Metazoa; Chordata; Mammalia; Rodentia; Cricetidae
Source: RefSeq, a predicted model, not a curated record